UACGAAGGGGACAAGCGUUGUUCGGAAUUACUGGGCGUAAAGGGCGCGUAGGCGGCUUAUCAAGUCAGGCGUGAAAUUCCCGGGCUCAACCUGGGGGCUGCGCUUGAUACUGAUGAGCUUGAAUGCGGGAGAGGAUAGUGGAAUUCCCAGUGUAGAGGUGAAAUUCGUAGAUAUUGGGAAGAACACCGGUGGCGAAGGCGGCUAUCUGGCCCGUAAUUGACGCUGAGGCGCGAAAGCGUGGGGAGCAAACAGG
This 253-nucleotide ribosomal RNA is filed under the name uncultured bacterium. Its description in RNAcentral is "partial 16S ribosomal RNA". It matches the Rfam family "Bacterial small subunit ribosomal RNA", at positions 524 to 776 of the family's 1533-position model. The record is from RNAcentral.